RNAcentral lists this long non-coding RNA (819 nucleotides) under Cyanistes caeruleus (blue tit). Its description in RNAcentral is "lncRNA (ENSCCEG00000010554.1)". Lineage: Eukaryota; Metazoa; Chordata; Aves; Passeriformes; Paridae. The record is from RNAcentral.
CUGGGCUGGGCACUGUAACUGAACAAUUAUAAAAUGGUCCUGAGAUUGAAGUUACAAUUCAUUCCCUAAUGAGGAUAUUCAAAUUCUUUGAGCUGCAGGACUGACCAUAAAAUUGUGCCUUUUUGUAAGGGGCCUAUGUAAGUGAUGUUACUUAGAGCAUGACUCUAGUGAAAGAUAGACAAUGUGGAAGUUCCAUGAUCAUUAGUUCUCAAAAAUUUUAAAAAAGCCAAAACCAAACAAACAAAAAAACCACAACAAACUCAAAAGUGAAAGUACCUAAAGCAUACAUGCGAUGAAGCCUCCUGGAGCCUGUCACUAGAGCUGUAAUUCAUCCUUCCUACCAUCCUUGCUCUUGGAAUACAAGAGAAAGCAAUCCCUGAAGUCUCUUUCACAAACUUUUCUGCAAAGUCCAUGUCCUUUGCACUGGCACAGUGACACUUUUGGACUCUCUCAGGUGACAGGUCAGAUCUCCAGCUCUGGCUGGGCUCUGUUACACCCCAGCACCAGAGCACCACACCCAGGGUGGGUCUACUUUGCCACAGGGACAGAAGAAGCCUGAGGUGGAGGCAAAACUAUGGGAGCAGCAUCCAAGGAGGGCUGAGAGAAAAACAUUUUUCUUCCUGAAAUUGUCAAAAUCAAGUGGAUUCUGGAGAACCAGAUUUGCUGCUCCUGCUGCAAUCAGAGAAACAAAAGAAUUCUACACUAAAUUGGACAGAAAGCAAGGGCUUUAGUUCACUGAACCAGGAAGAGCAAUUUUAUUUAACUGUAUGAGCAGUCUGGUGAAAAAGGUAAGUGAAACAUGGCCCAUCCUGAUCUUUA